This 253-nucleotide ribosomal RNA is filed under the name uncultured bacterium. RNAcentral describes it as "partial 16S ribosomal RNA". It matches the Rfam family "Bacterial small subunit ribosomal RNA", at positions 524 to 776 of the family's 1533-position model. The record is from RNAcentral.
UACGUAGGGGGCAAGCGUUGUCCGGAAUUAUUGGGCGUAAAGGGCUCGUAGGCGGUCCAUCGCGUCGGGAGUGAAAAGCUGGGGCUCAACCCCAGUCCUGCUUCCGAUACGGGUGGACUAGAGGUAGGCAGGGGAGAACGGAAUUCCUGGUGUAGCGGUGAAAUGCGCAGAUAUCAGGAGGAACACCGGUGGCGAAGGCGGCUUCCUGGCCUGCAACUGACGCUGAGACGCGAAAGCGUGGGGAGCGAACCGG